UACAGAGGGGGCAAGCGUUGUUCGGAAUUACUGGGCGUAAAGGGCGCGUAGGCGGCCCGCUAAGUCGAACGUGAAAUCCCCGAGCUCAACUCGGGAACUGCGUCCGAUACUGGCGGGCUUGAAUCCGGGAGAGGGAUGCGGAAUUCCAGGUGUAGCGGUGAAAUGCGUAGACAUCUGGAGGAACACCGGUGGCGAAGGCGGCAUCCUGGACCGGCAUUGACGCUGGGGCGCGAAAGCUAGGGGAGCAAACGGG
This 253-nucleotide ribosomal RNA is filed under the name uncultured bacterium. RNAcentral describes it as "partial 16S ribosomal RNA". It matches the Rfam family "Bacterial small subunit ribosomal RNA", at positions 524 to 776 of the family's 1533-position model. The record is from RNAcentral.